UACGGAGGGGGCUAGCGUUGUUCGGAAUUACUGGGCGUAAAGCGCACGUAGGCGGCUUUGUAAGUUAGAGGUGAAAGCCCAGGCUUAACCCUGGAAUCGCCUUUAAGACUGCAUCGCUAGAAUCGUGGAGAGGUGAGUGGAAUUCCGAGUGUAGAGGUGAAAUUCGUAGAUAUUCGGAAGAACACCAGUGGCGAAGGCGACUCACUGGACACGUAUUGACGCUGAGGUGCGAAAGCGUGGGGAGCAAACAGGG
RNAcentral lists this ribosomal RNA (253 nucleotides) under uncultured bacterium. Its description in RNAcentral is "partial 16S ribosomal RNA". It matches the Rfam family "Bacterial small subunit ribosomal RNA", at positions 524 to 777 of the family's 1533-position model. The record is from RNAcentral.